GGGUGUAUAGCUCAGCGGUAGAGCACUACGUUGACAUCGUAGGGGUCACAAGUUCGAUCCUUGUUACACCCACCA
Molecule: transfer RNA, 75 nt
Filed under: Alphaproteobacteria bacterium 40-19
Lineage: Bacteria; Pseudomonadati; Pseudomonadota; Alphaproteobacteria
Also listed under: 1 other name
Description: tRNA-Val
Rfam family: tRNA
About the family: Transfer RNA (tRNA) molecules are approximately 80 nucleotides in length. Their secondary structure includes four short double-helical elements and three loops (D, anti-codon, and T loops).
Source: RNAcentral